AUACGGAGGAUGCGAGCGUUAUCCGGAUUUAUUGGGUUUAAAGGGAGCGUAGGUGGGAUAUUAAGUCAGCUGUGAAAGUUUGGGGCUCAACCUUAAAAUUGCAGUUGAUACUGGUUUCCUUGAGUACGGUACAGGUGGGCGGAAUUCGUGGUGUAGCGGUGAAAUGCUUAGAUAUCACGAAGAACUCCGAUCGCGAAGGCAGCUCACCGGGCCGGAACUGACACUGAUGCUCGAAAGUGCGGGUAUCAAACAGGAUUAGAUACCCUGGUAGUCCGCACAGUAAACGAUGAAUACUCGCUGUUUGCGAUACACUGUAAGCGUCCAAGCGAAAGCGUUAAGUAUUCCACCUGGGGAGUACGCCGGCAACGGUGAAACUCAAAGGAAUUGACGGG
This 392-nucleotide ribosomal RNA is filed under the name uncultured bacterium. RNAcentral's name for it is "partial 16S ribosomal RNA". It matches the Rfam family "Bacterial small subunit ribosomal RNA", at positions 523 to 917 of the family's 1533-position model. The record is from RNAcentral.